GUGGGGAAUAUUGGGCAAUGGGGGCAACCCUGACCCAGCGACGCCGCGUGAGGGAAGACGGCCUUCGGGUUGUAAACCUCUUUUGUACGGGAAGAAGGAAGUGACGGUACUGUACGAAUAAGUCCCGGCUAACUACGUGCCAGCAGCCGCGGUAAUACGUAGGGGACGAGCGUUGUCCGGAAUUACUGGGCGUCAAGGGCGCGCAGGCUGUGCUGCAAGUCAGCUGUGAAAUGUCUGGGCUUAACCCGGGCAUGCGGUUGAGACUGCAGUGCUGGAGUGCUGUAGAGGCAAGUGGAAUUCCCAGUGUAGCGGUGAAAUGCGUAGAUAUUGGGAAGAACACCGGUGGCGAAGGCGACUUGCUGGGCAGCAACUGACGCUGAGGCGCGAAAGCCAGGGGAGCAAACGGGAUUAGAAACCCCGGUAGUCC
RNAcentral lists this ribosomal RNA (427 nucleotides) under uncultured bacterium. Its description in RNAcentral is "partial 16S ribosomal RNA". It matches the Rfam family "Bacterial small subunit ribosomal RNA", at positions 354 to 796 of the family's 1533-position model. The record is from RNAcentral.